GCGGCGGAGUAGCUGUCGCUGCCUACGGACGACGUCAAGCGUCUCCGGCGGCGGCACCUCUUGGGCGAACAAGGCGGUGCCUCUCGCGGUGGCGGCCAUGUAAUCGAUCGAUCGAUCAGGACUGACUCUGAAGAGCCUAGUCGCUGCUC
Non-coding RNA from Oryza sativa Japonica Group (Japanese rice), 149 nucleotides. Lineage: Eukaryota; Viridiplantae; Streptophyta; Magnoliopsida; Poales; Poaceae. The record is from RefSeq and is a predicted model, not a curated record.